AUUAAAAUAUAUAAAAUUAAACGGAUUAGGGUAUUUUUGGGUAAUAAUAAUAAGAUUUCGGUAGUUGAAAAUAAAUUUUAAUUAGAUUUUGAAUGGGUUCGGGUAUUAAGAAUUUUAAUAGGGUUUGGCAGGGUGAUUUUCGCUGGUUAUUCUAUCUGUUGCCGUCCCUAGGAUUAGUAACUUAUAAACUCCAGUUCCCCCUAAUGGUAGCAUUCCAUUGUUGCAUGCAUCCCUACUUAAGAAGAAAAUGGGUGAUCAACAGGUGUGCACACAACUACUUCAACUGGUUGGUGCUAAUGGGUAAUUCAUGGUGCAGCCUGUGGUUAUUGUUCAGGAACACAAUAUUUAUCUUGUUGGAUUAGAGGUAGCAAUAAUAAAAAGGAUUUGAACUGGCAAUGUUUGUAGGAGAUGUUUCUGUCAAACAUUUUUUUUUUUGGGACCAAUCUUUAUCCUCAUGAGAAUGCUCGAAAGGUCUUUACUGCCUUCAGACUCAUAUUCCUUGCGUCUUCCUAGAGGACCGGGAAUAACUUAUAGGGGGCAAGAUAUUAUAUUAUUAAUGUCAAUUAACUUUUUUUUUUUAAUUAUAAAUUCUUGUAAAUAUUAGUAAGUAUUAAUUGUUGGUUUGUUCUACAAGAAGUAACGUUAUUGCUG
This 651-nucleotide unclassified non-coding RNA is filed under the name Hevea brasiliensis (rubber tree). Lineage: Eukaryota; Viridiplantae; Streptophyta; Magnoliopsida; Malpighiales; Euphorbiaceae. The record is from RNAcentral.